This 533-nucleotide ribosomal RNA is filed under the name Chaetomium madrasense. RNAcentral describes it as "eukaryotic LSU rRNA". The stretch from base 163 to 316 matches the Rfam family "5.8S ribosomal RNA". The record is from RNAcentral. Lineage: Eukaryota; Fungi; Ascomycota; Sordariomycetes; Sordariales; Chaetomiaceae.
AACUCCCUAAACCAUUGUGAACGUUACCUAAACCGUUGCUUCGGCGGGCGGCCCCGGGGUCAUCCCCGGGCGCCCCUGGGCCCCAUCGCGGGCGCCCGCCGGAGGUCACCAAACUCUUGAUAAUUUAUGGCCUCUCUGAGUCUUCUGUACUGAAUAAGUCAAAACUUUCAACAACGGAUCUCUUGGUUCUGGCAUCGAUGAAGAACGCAGCGAAAUGCGAUAAGUAAUGUGAAUUGCAGAAUUCAGUGAAUCAUCGAAUCUUUGAACGCACAUUGCGCCCGCCAGUAUUCUGGCGGGCAUGCCUGUUCGAGCGUCAUUUCAACCAUCAAGCCCCCGGCUUGUGUUGGGGACCUGCGGCUGCCGCAGGCCCUGAAAAGCAGUGGCGGGCUCGCUGUCACACCGAGCGUAGUAGCAUACAUCUCGCUCUGGGCGUGCUGCGGGUUCCGGCCGUUAAACCACCUUCAUAACCCAAGGUUGACCUCGGAUCAGGUAGGAAGACCCGCUGAACUUAAGCAUAUCAAUAAGCGGAGGAA